Molecule: ribosomal RNA, 460 nt
Filed under: uncultured bacterium
Lineage: Bacteria
Description: partial 16S ribosomal RNA
Rfam family: Bacterial small subunit ribosomal RNA
Source: RNAcentral
CCUACGGGAGGCAGCAGUGAGGAAUAUUGGUCAAUGGACGAGAGUCUGAACCAGCCAAGUAGCGUGAAGGAUGACUGCCCUAUGGGUUGUAAACUUCUUUUAUAUGGGAAUAAAAUGUUCCACGUGUGGGAUUUUGUAUGUACCAUAUGAAUAAGGAUCGGCUAACUCCGUGCCAGCAGCCGCGGUAAUACGGAGGAUCCGAGCGUUAUCCGGAUUUAUUGGGUUUAAAGGGAGCGUAGGUGGAUUGUUAAGUCAGUUGUGAAAGUUUGCGGCUCAACCGUAAAAUUGCAGUUGAAACUGGCAGUCUUGAGUACAGUAGAGGUGGGCGGAAGUCGUGGUGUAGCGGUGAAAUGCUUAGAUAUCACGAAGAACUCCGAUUGCGAAGGCAGUUCACUGGACUGCAACUGACACUGAGGCUCGAAAGUGUGGGUAUCAAACAGGAUUAGAGACCCGUGUAGUC